GAAGUUCGCCAUUACCUUCUGCCGGAGCCGCCUGCGGGUGCAGAUUUCGGUGGUAGUAGCAAAUAUUCAAACGAGACCUUCGAAGACCGAAGUGGAGAAGGGUU
Octopus sinensis (East Asian common octopus) is the source of this 104-nucleotide long non-coding RNA. RefSeq lists it as uncharacterized. The transcript is spliced from 2 exons. NCBI's taxonomy places the organism in Eukaryota, Metazoa, Mollusca, Cephalopoda, Octopoda, Octopodidae. The record is from RefSeq and is a predicted model, not a curated record.